AAACCUACCUGGCAGGAGAGAUACCAUGAUCACGAAGGUGGUUUUCCCAGGAUGACACUUACCCAUUGUACUCUGGAUGUGCUAACCCCUCCAAUUUCCCCAAAUGUGAGAACUUGACUCCAUAGUUUUUGGUAGUGGGGAACUGUGUUCAUGCUCCUUU
This is a small nuclear RNA of Suncus etruscus (white-toothed pygmy shrew), 160 nucleotides long. RefSeq annotates it as U1 spliceosomal RNA. NCBI's taxonomy places the organism in Eukaryota, Metazoa, Chordata, Mammalia, Eulipotyphla, Soricidae. The record is from RefSeq and is a predicted model, not a curated record. The transcript has a single exon.